UGGAUCAUGUGCUGGCCAAGCGCGGCCAGCGCACGACCAUCGUGGUUGCGACCUCGGGCGACACCGGCGGCGCCGCGGUCGAUGCUUUUGCCGGCCGCGACAACGCCGAUCUCAUUGUGCUGUUUCCGAACGGGCGGAUUUCCGACGUGCAGCGGCGCAUGAUGACCACCAGCGGUGCGGCCAAUGUUCAUGCGCUGGCGAUCGAAGGUAACUUCGAUGACUGUCAGGGAAUCGUGAAGGGCCUGUUCAAUCAUCACAAGUUCCGCGAUUCCGUCUCGCUGUCGGGCGUGAAUUCGAUCAACUGGGCGCGCAUCGUCGCGCAGGUGGUUUAUUACUUCACGUCGGCGG
RNAcentral lists this unclassified non-coding RNA (348 nucleotides) under Hevea brasiliensis (rubber tree). The record is from RNAcentral. Lineage: Eukaryota; Viridiplantae; Streptophyta; Magnoliopsida; Malpighiales; Euphorbiaceae.